GUGUCAGCAGCCGCGGUAAUACAGAGACUGCAAGCGUUAUUCGGAUUCACUGGGCGUAAAGGGUGCGCAGGCGGCCAAGUGUGUCAGGUGUGAAAUCCCGGGGCUUAACUCCGGAACUGCGCCUGAAACUACUUGGCUAGAGCAUUGGAGAGGGAAGUGGAAUUCACGGUGUAGCAGUGAAAUGCGUAGAUAUCGUGAGGAACACCAGAGGCGAAGGCGACUUCCUGGACAAUUGCUGACGCUCAGGCACGAAAGCGUGGGGAGCCAAAGGGAUUAGAAACCCGUGUAGUCC
Molecule: ribosomal RNA, 292 nt
Filed under: uncultured bacterium
Lineage: Bacteria
Description: partial 16S ribosomal RNA
Rfam family: Bacterial small subunit ribosomal RNA
Source: RNAcentral